UCAUGCUUCCCGGCACAAGGUGCACCUGUGUAAUGAUCGUGCUGUUUAACCAGCUUAUUGAUACGCCACACCUGUCAGGUGGAUGGAUUAUCUUGGCAAAUGAGAAAUUCUCACUAACAGGGAUGCAAACAAAUUUGUGCAAAAAAAAAAAAAAAAAAAAAAAGAAAUCUUUGUGUACGGAAUAUUUCUGGGAUCUUUUAUUUCAGCUCAUGAAACACUUUACAUGUUGCGUUUAUAUUUUUUGUUUAGUUUCUCACCCCCCCCCCCCUAAUGAUUCACCCUUCAUGGGGUGGCAGGUUGGUUCGAGCGUUGGACUUGUAACUGAAAGGUUGCAAGUUCGAAUCCCCGAGCUGACAAGGUAAAAAUCUGUCGUUCUGCCCCUGAACAAGGCAGUUAGCCUACCGGGGAACGGUGAGUUGUCAUUGUAAAUAAGAAUUUGUUCUUAAAUUUAACUGACUUGCCUAAAUAAAUGAUGUUAAAAUGUUGUUGUUUUUUUAAAACAUGGGCUUUGGAAUGGGCCUACCACUGACUUAUGUACGUUGUAGAAGCCCAUUAGACCAUAGCCUUGCCACGUGAUUACCCCAGCGUUGCAAUAACACUAAUCUGUGACACGCGUGUGCGUGUGUGGCCUGUUAAAGCGAUUGGAAUCACGAGACUUCACCUCUGUCUAUUCAUUUCUGCCAGGCUCCCUCAGUCUUCUGCAGCACUGGGUGUAUUGUUGGUGAACAUGGUUCUCUCUGCUCCAUAUCCAUUAGUUUAGUGUUCUAGAUAUCGGGUUCCCUCUGCUCCAUAUCCAUUAGUUUAGUGUUCUAGAUAUCGGGUUCUCUGCUCCAUAUCCAUUAGUUUCUUGUUCUAGAUAUCGGGUUCUCGGCUCCAUAUCCAUUAGUUUCGUGUUCUAGAUAUCGGGUUCUCUCUGCUCCAUAUCCAUUAGUUUAGUGUUCUAGAUAUCGGGUUCCCUCUGCUCCAUAUCCAUUAGUUUAGUGUUCUAGAUAUCGGGUUCCCUCUGCUCCAUAUCCAUUAGUUUCGUGUUCUAGAUAUCGGGUUCUCUCUGCUCCAUAUCCAUUAGUUUCGUGUUCUAGAUAUCGGGUUCCCUCUGCUCCAUAUCCAUUAGUUUAGUGUUCUAGAUAUCGGGUUCCCUCUGCUCCAUAUCCAUUAGUUUAGUGUUCUAGAUAUCGGGUUCUCUGCUCCAUAUCCAUUAGUUUCUUGUUCUAGAUAUCGGGUUCCCUCUGCUCCAUAUCCAUUAGUUUCGUGUUCUAGAUAUCGGGUUCUCUCUGCUCCAUAUCCAUUAGUUUCGUGUUCUAGAUAUCGGGUUCUCUCUGCUCCAUAUCCAUUAGUUUAGUGUUCUAGAUAUCGGGUUCCCUCUGCUCCAUAUCCAUUAGUUUCGUGUUCUAGAUAUCGGGUUCCCUCUGCUCCAUAUCCAUUAGUUUAGUGUUCUAGAUAUCGGGUUCCCUCUGCUCCAUAUCCAUUAGUUUAGUGUUCUAGAUAUCGGGUUCCCUCUGCUCCAUAUCCAUUAGUUUAGUGUUCUAGAUAUCGGGUUCCCUCUGCUCCAUAUCCAUUAGUUUAGUGUUCUAGAUAUCGGGUUCCCUCUGCUCCAUAUCCAUUAGUUUCGUGUUCUAGAUAUCGGGUUCUCUCUGCUCCAUAUCCAUUAGUUUCUUGUUCUAGAUAUCGGGUUCCCUCUGCUCCAUAUCCAUUAGUUUCUUGUUCUAGAUAUCGUGUUCCCUCGGCUCCAUAUCCAUGAGUUUCGUGUAAAACUACAACAGCAUGUCAUCAUUGAAACUACAACAGCAUGUCAUCAUUAAAACUACAACAGCAUGUCAUCAUUAAAACUACAACAGCAUGUCAUCAUUAAAACUACAACAGCAUGUCAUCAAAACUACAACAGCAUGUCAUCAUUAAAACUACAACAGCGUGUCAUCAUUAAAACUACAACAGCGUGUCAUCAUUAAAACUACAACAGCGUGUCAUCAUUAAAACUACAACAGCGUGUCAUCAUUAAAACUACAACAGCGUGUCAUCAUUAAAACUACAACAGCGUGUCAUCAUUAAAACUACAACAGCGUGUCAUCAUUAAAACUACAACAGCGUGUCAUCAUUAAAACUACAACAGCGUGUCAUCAUUAAAACUACAACAGC
This is a long non-coding RNA of Oncorhynchus keta (chum salmon), 2133 nucleotides long. RefSeq lists it as uncharacterized. The transcript has 3 exons. NCBI's taxonomy places the organism in Eukaryota, Metazoa, Chordata, Actinopteri, Salmoniformes, Salmonidae. The record is from RefSeq and is a predicted model, not a curated record.